GUGCCAGCAGCCGCGGUAAGACGGAGGAUGCAAGCGUUAUCCGGAAUGAUUGGGCGUAAAGCGUCCGCAGGUGGCAAUUCAAGUCUGCUGUUAAAGCGCAGGGCUUAACUCUGUAAAGGCAGUGGAAACUGAAUAGCUAGAGUGUGGUAGGGGCAGAGGGAAUUCCCAGUGUAGCGGUGAAAUGCGUAGAGAUUGGGAAGAACAUCGGUGGCGAAGGCGCUCUGCUGGACCAUAACUGACACUCACAGGACGAAAGCUAGGGGAGCGAAUGGGAUUAGAUACCCCAGUAGUCCUAGCCGUAAACGAUGGAUACUAGGUGUUGUCUGUAUCGACCCGGACAGUGCCGUAGCUAACGCGUUAAGUAUCCCGCCUGGGGAGUACGCACGCAAGUGUGAAACUCAAAGGAAUUGACGGGG
This 416-nucleotide ribosomal RNA is filed under the name uncultured cyanobacterium. RNAcentral's name for it is "bacterial SSU rRNA". It matches the Rfam family "Bacterial small subunit ribosomal RNA", at positions 505 to 918 of the family's 1533-position model. The record is from RNAcentral. Lineage: Bacteria; Bacillati; Cyanobacteriota.